This is a long non-coding RNA of Onychostoma macrolepis, 364 nucleotides long. RefSeq lists it as uncharacterized. Lineage: Eukaryota; Metazoa; Chordata; Actinopteri; Cypriniformes; Cyprinidae. The record is from RefSeq and is a predicted model, not a curated record. The transcript has 3 exons.
UCAUUUAGUAAUGCAGCUCUGGACACGGAGGUUAGAUCUAGAAGAAUCCAGAUCAUGGGAGUCUGAGAGGUCAGUGAGUUCAGUCUUGUGUAACCUGCAAUCUUCAAUCAAGAACAGGUGUGAAUUUCCCUGUCACAGUAUGGUGCCUUCACAUGCAGAUGAAUCAGAAACAGUACAUAUUGUCACACAUCACUGGGAGUAAGGAGACGAGGAGUCGAGGAGACGCAGGAGUAAACUCAAAAGACUUUAAUGAUAAAUCAAAAAGCAUGGAAUGUGGAGAACACUGAAUGACGUAAGACACCAGACGCUAGACUCAGGGAAACACAGGGCUUAAGAACACUGGAGAAAACGAGAUAAUUAAUAG